UAGAUCUGCACCCGCCCUCAUCCCUUGCAGCUAUCCAUGUCUGCCCGUCCAGCCUCAGAGUCUGUCUCUGACCUCCCCAGGUACGUCCUGAACCACUGUCUCUGAUCAGAACUCUGUGCUCACCUCCCUUGUCAUUCCGCCUUUGGCUGCCCGUCGAUGCACCAGCACCACUUGGCAAUGGCCUGGUCAGGCAGGGAGUAGAGUGGGUCAGAAGCAAGGGAGAGAGGAAAUGAAACACAGAGGGAGAAGAGAGAGGAGAUGAAAACAAGAACACUGAGGAGCAGCAAGGAGAAGGGAAGAGAGGAGGAAGAGAAAAAAUGCUGGGGCAGUGGAAAGUUGAAGAGGAUCAUGGGGACGGAAAAGGACACUGCAGCGGGUAUGAGCUGGGAGGCCCACACAGCAUCAGGCCAAGGCAGUGGGGCUGAGGACCAAAAGGAGAAGACGGGGUGGAGAAAGAUGACCGCCAGUAAGAGGCAAUCACAGAAGUCUGCACUUGUCCUGGGCAAUAUCUGGCACCCUGCCUCAUCUCCUGAACAGCUAGUUCCUUGCUUUGAGUUUACUAAAAAUGAGAGAGCUCCCACUCUACCUUUGAAAAUGGCUUCUAUUUGGAGGCAAUGAGAAUAACAAGAGUGACCGCAGAAACAACAUUGCCAUGUUCCCCAGGGAGACGCAAGCUCUACCUAGUGGUCCAGUUACUAUUGCUGUCGUACAAACCACCCCAAACUUACAACAACAACAUUUGAUUCUGCCCACAUAUUCUGUGGGUCAUAAAUCCAGAAAGGGACGGCUGGUCUCUGGGCAGCAAUGCCUGGGCUCUCAACUGGGAAGACCUGAAGCCUGGGGGUUACAUGACAAUUAGAGAUUGGAAUCCUCUGAAGCUCACUCACUCACAUGUCUGGUGGUGGAUGCUGGCCGUUGGCCAGGAUCUCAGCUGGGGCAGUUGGCUGCAAGACCUGCACACGGUCUCUCCAUGUGGCUGCUUGAGCUUCAAAGCGCAAGGUGCCUGGGUUUUUAGAGUCAGCAUCUCAAGAGAGACAGGACACUGUAUUACCAUUUAUGAUCUAGCCUCACUUCUGCUGUAGUCAUGAAUCUGCCCAAAUUCAAGAAAAAGGAGCAUAGAUCCUACCUCUCAACGGGAGAGAUGUUCAAGCUCACCAUAUAGUAAGACAGGAAAUAUUGUUGUGGCCAUCUUGGGAAAAUACAGUCAGCACAGCCCAUCCUCAGGCCACGGUACUUCAUGGUACCCACCUGCAAGAUAUUAUCAGCCUCUCCCCUAAGACCACCAAGUCUCAUCCCAUCAUGACAUCAAUUCAAGUCAUAAAUUAGGUCCUAGCAUGUAUCAGUUCCCAGGUACAGCAACUCGGGCCCCACUCCUCCAAUCUAAAUACCAGUGAACUAAAGUUAUCAGCCCCACACACCCAAUAUACAGUGGUGGGAACUAACCACUGUGGAUACUCCUGUUCAGAAAGUGGGAAAACAAGAGGCACAUGGCAAUCACAGGUCCAUAAGCAAUUCCGAGAUCCAGCAAGGCAAAUGUGGCCAGUUUCUGAUUAGGGCUCAAGUCUGCUGCUUUGUUCUCUGGCUCUUGGCUCUGCCUCAGGGUCUUGGUUCUGUCCUCUAAGUCAUCAUUCCUUUGUAAUGGGAAUGGCCUGAGUUUGCAGCUGAGUAGUUUUCUCAGCCGGAUCCCUGUUUGUAGUAGCUGAGGGGUCCAACGGUCUCCUUUCAUUUUGUACAGUUUGUGUCCCUUUCCAUCCAAGCUGAUGCAAUUCUUUAAAAACUCUGUGAACUUUUUGGGUAUUGAUUUAAAAUUUACUCCAUUAGACAAAAAACCACAGCCACAAAUCUCUUAGAAAUAGGCCUUUCUCAACCUCUGGCUUCCUGUGAGGCUGCUGUGGGACAAGCCUUGUUAUUAAACAGAAAAAGAGGCAAGACUCUAAGAUCCUCUCUGCCGUGAGGGCAGAGAAUCUUAGAUGAGCAGUCAGAUGGGAAAGCCGAGCCCACAUUUCCACUCAAAGUCAAAAGCCACAAGGAGGGCCAGAAAUGGUACCUCUACGGCAGGAGUCAAAGUCAAACCCUCUUCAGAGGAAAGAUUCGCCAAGUUAGACCUGAGGAUGCUCUUAUCAAGCUCAAGUAAUGAACUAAUGAAGAUGACCAAGCACACAAGAAGUCAUUUAAAAGUAGAUUUAGACAUCCAAGAAUUGCAAAUAUUGGAAUUGUCAGAUGAAGAAAACUGUUAUGAACUGUUAUGAAUGAAAUAUUUAAUGAAAUAUUGGCUACCAUAACAAAAAGAGCAUACAAAAAACCCACUGGCAGUGAACAAUUUUAAAAUAUCAGUCCACAAAUUGCUUGUUUAUUAAAAACAGGAAAAGAAAAGCACCACUAAAUGGAGAAAGCUGGCGGACACCAACUUAACUAAAUGAUCAAAGUUAACAGCAUCGAUAAUAGAACUGCCAGCUUGUGCUUCCUGCUGUAAUGCACUGAGAAUACAACAGCACAUAUGCAGUAUUCCUGCCAUAAAAAGUUUAAUCUGAAUCUGAGCACAAGGAAACAGAUGAAUCCAAGUUGAUGGACAUUUUACAAAACAACUGGCUUGAACUCUUCAAAAAUGUCGAGGUGAUCAGAGAAAAUUUUUUAAAGGCUUGGGAACUGUUCUAGGUUAAAAAAAAAAAUACAGGACAAUGCAUGAUUCUUGAUUCUAUCCUGGAUUGAAAAAAAAUAAUAAAAACAUGUAAAAAUAUUAUUGGGAUAAUUGAGGACAUUUGAAUUUGGUCUAUGUAUUAGAUAAUAUCAAUUUCCAAGGUUAGAGUUCCUGAAUGUGAUACUUAUAUUGCUGUUAUGUAGGAGAAUGUCCUUGUUCUUAGAAGACAUGUCUUAAGACAUUUAGGAUCAUAGUAAUUGAGUUCUCUGUGAAAGAAGUCUCAAAUGGUUCACCAAAAAAAUAUUUGUGUGAAUGUGCAUGUGUGUGGAAAGAGAUAAAGCAGAUGUGGCAAAAUGUUAACAAUUGGUAAAUCUAGAUAAAGGGUAUAUGGGCAUUCAUUGUGCCAUUCUCACAACUUUUCUGCUGAUUUGAAUUUUUAAAUAAAUGUUGGGGGAAAUGUUAACAGCUACAAAGAAUAAGU
This is a long non-coding RNA of Equus caballus (horse), 3119 nucleotides long. Lineage: Eukaryota; Metazoa; Chordata; Mammalia; Perissodactyla; Equidae. The record is from Ensembl.